ACCCUUCCACCAAAUAUAGCCAUAUCCAACAACACCCACGACAACAAUUACACCAUAUCUACUAGCACCUGCACAUUAUAAACACGUCUAAGAACACCACAGAGAAAGACCAAAGACAAAUUCAAUACAUCACAAGAACUUCAACAAAAAUAAGUAGAGAUUUGUCAUUUUAGCUAAAGGAAUUCAAGAGUAGGAAUAAGAAAGACAUGGUCUAAGACUUCUCAAGAUAUGGAACAUCAUAGUAUUUUUUUCCCUUUUUU
This 260-nucleotide unclassified non-coding RNA is filed under the name Hevea brasiliensis (rubber tree). Lineage: Eukaryota; Viridiplantae; Streptophyta; Magnoliopsida; Malpighiales; Euphorbiaceae. The record is from RNAcentral.